GACGAACGCUGGCGGCGUGCUUAACACAUGCAAGUCGAACGGAAAGGCCCUGCUCUUGUGGGGUGCUCGAGUGGCGAACGCGUGAGUAACACGUGAGUAACCUGCCCUUGACAUUGGGAUAAAUUCAGGAAACUGGGGCUAAUACCGCAUAGGAGCUCCUGCUGCGUGGUGGGGGUUGGAGAGUUUGGGCGGUUGUGGCUGGACUCGCGGCUUAUCAGCUUGUUGGUGGGGUAGUGGUUUACCACGGCUUUGACGGGUAGCCCGCCUGAGAGGGUCACCGGCGCCCAAGGUACUGCGAUACGCAGCAGACUGGUACGGUCCGCAGUAGUGGGGAAUAUUGCGCAGCGGGGCGGAGCGUGAGGAAGCGGCGCCGCGUGCGUGAUGACGGCUUGUUGGUGGUAAACCGCUGUCGCCGUAAAUGUAGCGGGAGUGACGGUAACGGGUAAAGAAGCACCGGCUAACUACGUG
RNAcentral lists this ribosomal RNA (468 nucleotides) under uncultured bacterium. Its description in RNAcentral is "partial 16S ribosomal RNA". It matches the Rfam family "Bacterial small subunit ribosomal RNA", at positions 28 to 507 of the family's 1533-position model. The record is from RNAcentral.